RNAcentral lists this unclassified non-coding RNA (390 nucleotides) under soil metagenome. Its description in RNAcentral is "partial contains 5.8S ribosomal RNA, internal transcribed spacer 2, and large subunit ribosomal RNA". The stretch from base 3 to 121 matches the Rfam family "5.8S ribosomal RNA", at positions 36 to 154 of the family's 154-position model. The record is from RNAcentral.
GAAUGAAGAACGCAGCGAAAUGCGAUACGUAGUGUGAAUUGCAGAAUUCCGUGAACCAUCGAAUCUUUGAACGCAGAUUGCGCUCGAGGCUUCGGCCGAGAGCAUGCCUGCCUCAGCGUCGGUUAUCACUCUCCAACACCCCCUCUCGGGUGCUGGGUCUUGGCUCUCUCUCGAUCCCUGGGUCGAGGGUUGGCUGAAAACGAUUGGGCAACCGGUUUUCCGGUCGGUUCAACUCGGUAGAUGGUCCCUCCCAUUCAGUUGGGAGACUGCAUGCCGUUGAAGCCUCGGAUUGCCUCCAAAGGUGCCUUCAGCAGGACAACACAUUGAAACCUUCGACCUGAGUUCAGGCAAGAACACCCGCUGAACUUAAGCAUAUCAAUAAGCGGAGGA